GGGGGCGCGCGAACGCCGCGGGCCGCCGGCAGCCGCGAGAGCGAAGAAGGCCCUCGGAUCGUAAAACUCUGUUGUAAGAGAAGAACGUUGAUGAGAGUGGAAAGUUCAUCAAGUGAGGGUAUCUUACCAGAAAGCCACGGGGGGACUGGGGGGGCAGCAGCCGCGGAAAUACGUAGGUGGCAAGCGUUGUCCGGAUUUAUUGGGCGUAAAGCGAGCGCAGGCGGUUGAUUAAGUCUGAUGAGAAAGCCCCCGGCUCAACCGGGGAGGGUCAUUGGAAACUGGUCAACUUGAGUGCAGAAGAGGAGAGUGGAAUUCCAUGUGUAGCGGGGAGAAUUCGUGGAUAUAUGGAGGAACGCCAGUGGCAAAGGCGGCUCUCUGGUCUGUAACUGACGCUGAGGCUCGA
RNAcentral lists this ribosomal RNA (403 nucleotides) under uncultured bacterium. RNAcentral describes it as "bacterial SSU rRNA". It matches the Rfam family "Bacterial small subunit ribosomal RNA", at positions 358 to 756 of the family's 1533-position model. The record is from RNAcentral.